This 1007-nucleotide long non-coding RNA is filed under the name Anas platyrhynchos platyrhynchos (common mallard). RNAcentral describes it as "lncRNA (ENSAPLG00000016806.1)". The record is from RNAcentral. Lineage: Eukaryota; Metazoa; Chordata; Aves; Anseriformes; Anatidae.
CGGCAUCGCAUCGGGGCACGGUGGGACACUUUGGUUAUGGGUUUGAGCCAUAAUCACAGAGCCCAUUGUAGUGCUCCAUACCUUAAAUGCCUUUUUUCAGCCUAAACCCAGCAAAUUUUGCCCUACAGGUGUGCCCGGAGGUGUUUGGGGUGCCCAAAUCCUGGUGGCACGGUGGCACCCAAGGGCCGGCAUCUCCAAAACUCGCUGCCCGGAGAGCUCUGCAGCUGGAGACCUGCUUCUGGCCGGCCAGCCAAAGCAAACAAGUGAUCGAGGAAACAGCAACAAGUAGAGGGGAAGUUAUUUUAAGUCUUUCCCGGAUGGGAAACAGCGGAGGUAUCCGCGGGUCUCGUGUGCUUUGCCUUCCUAAUCUUUCCCCGUGGACACGGAGCGGAAAACCAAGAAGCCCGGAGGCGGCAAGCCAAAAAUGCCACACGACCCCAGCUCUGUCCGCAGAGGGACAAAGAGAAAUGAUUUGGGACAAUGAGGUGGCAAAAGCCACCUUCCAGGUGAGGUGUCCGGCACCCGGGUGGCCUCCCAGGCACCAAGCCCUGCUCAGCUCCUUUAGGGCUGUGGAGAAAGGAAAAGCGAAAUGGAAGUGGCCCCGAGGCUCCAAGACACGUCUGGGUGCGCUCAUGAAAAGGAAAGGACGUGAAGAUGAAGUCGCCCAUCAUCAUCAUCAUCAUUGGGCAAGGAGAGGCUCAGCUCCCCCUUCCUACCCCGCUGACUUCCCCAGGGAUUUAGGAAGGCAGGUUGGGGGAGAAAGCAGUCUGCAACACGCUUCCUGAGAAAUGCUGAGACAUGGGAACGGCAGGUCCUCGUACGUCAGGAGCCAAAUCAACAUUUUUUUGCUCAAAUUCCCAAGAAAGGCGAGGUUGCCAGACUCCCACGGAGCCCUGGAGGAGUGGGUGUGUUGGGCUCGAGGGUGCUGCGGGGAUCUCAGCACCCUCCGGCGGGGAGCUGGGGCUGGAUCCCCCAAAAUAUAGCCCUGGGACCCCUCAAGGGAUGGG